This 75-nucleotide transfer RNA is filed under the name Candidatus Yanofskybacteria bacterium RIFCSPHIGHO2_01_FULL_44_110b. RNAcentral describes it as "tRNA-Ile". It matches the Rfam family "tRNA". From Rfam's summary of the family: Transfer RNA (tRNA) molecules are approximately 80 nucleotides in length. Lineage: Bacteria; Candidatus Yanofskyibacteriota. The record is from RNAcentral. RNAcentral also lists the same sequence under 5 other names.
GGGCGUGUAGCUCAGUGGUAGAGCGCCAAACUUAUAAUUUGGAUGCCGCAGGUUCAAUCCCUGCCACGCCCACCA